Zingiber officinale is the source of this 445-nucleotide long non-coding RNA. RefSeq lists it as uncharacterized. Lineage: Eukaryota; Viridiplantae; Streptophyta; Magnoliopsida; Zingiberales; Zingiberaceae. The transcript is spliced from 3 exons. The record is from RefSeq and is a predicted model, not a curated record.
ACAGCUAGAAGUCCAAAUCUCGGCUGCUAAAGAGGAAGCUUUCAGCAGGAAAGAUGUUCUUGAAAGAGUAGAGAAAUGGUUGGCUGUGUGCGAAGAGGAGAACUGGUUGGAAGAGUACAAUAGGGAUGGGAACCGCUACGGUGCAGGAAAAGGUGCUCACCUGAUGCUUAGGCGUGCUGAAAAGGCACGAACUUUAGUAAGCAAAAUCCCAGGUUAGCAUUCUGUACCAAUGCAAGCUCUCGAUGCAAGUAAAUGAAUCCAAUGCAUUCCCCUGUUGUUUUUACAUAUCGAGCAGCAAUGGUCGAUGCUCUGAUAAACAAAGUAACUGCAUGGGAGAAGGAAAGGGGCGAUGACUUCAUUUAUGACGGUCUCUCUUUGCUGUCAAUGCUGGAAGACUACACCAUUAUGAGCCAAGAGAAAGAGCAAGAACGCAAAAGGAAAAGAG